Long non-coding RNA from Cannabis sativa, 1993 nucleotides. RefSeq lists it as uncharacterized. The transcript has 5 exons. The record is from RefSeq and is a predicted model, not a curated record. Lineage: Eukaryota; Viridiplantae; Streptophyta; Magnoliopsida; Rosales; Cannabaceae.
UUUAAAAAAAAGUUUCUCACUCUGUCGACGAUUGAAAACAAUUUGGGUUCUUUAAUUCCUACUUUCUAAACGAAAACUAUUUGGGUUUCAUCUCUAUCAUCAUCUUCUUCAAUCUCAAUCUCUUCUCUCACAUCAAUUUGGGAGCCGUUUUUAUCAGCAAUGACAGCUCUGAAGCUCCGUAAUAGAGUAGGAACACACCCAAAUACGACACGAUAACAAUCAGGCGACUAUUUAUUGAAAAGUGUUUAGGUGGGGCUUAAUUUCCUUAGCCGAUUCGUGCCGAUCUUGAAUCUCAACAACAGUUUCCAGAACUUUCCCCCUUCCGUGUUCCUGAAUCGCCCUCUCCAAAAAUUACUGAUCUCCUCCAUCGAAAAUGAUCUUCUCAAUCACCUCAUCUCUCGGAGUUUCCCCUGUAACGGUGUAGUAUCUUCUCCCAACGGUUUCUUUAUACUCCGACAUCAUCCUCUGCCGAAGCGAUUGGAAAUCGAUCAUCAACUCCUUCAAUUUCUUCCUCAAUCCGCUCGUUACAGCGAUUCUCGUUCGGAGAAGUAUUUUGAAUUUGUACUAAUUGAACUGCCAUGCAAUAACAAAUUCUCACUUCGUAUGAAAAUGAAAACGUUUGUCCCCACAAGAAGAACGAGAGGCAAGGAGUAGUUGAACAGGAUCAAGCUAAUAGCUUUAAGUUUCCAACGAAGCAACACGAUUUGCCACUCCAAUCCUCUUAAUCCAAAAUUAGAUAUUUAUCUUUGUUUUAUAUCAAUUUAAUUUCUUUUUUGAUCGAACAAUGAAUGUUUGAGAUUUGUUAAUGACAAUGUUGCCUCUAUGCUCUGCAACUCCAACUUGUUCUUCUCAUUCUCAGGUCAGUUCCUUAAAACUUAACUUGUUUAGGUAUUAGUAAAGUUUACACACUUUCUUAGUAAAGUUCUCAACUUUAGAGAAUUAAUCUAUGAAAUAUCUUGACACCUGCCAAGAUUGCUUUUCAAAAGGUGAUCAUAGAUUUCAGCACCCUUUUGUUUUUAAUCUUUGUUUUACUUCUUCUACAUGCUGAGUGAACUGUGUUUAUUAAUCAGGUUUAUAUUGCUAUUGAGGGUUUUGAGAAAACUCUUGGCUUUGAUCCAAUCGUUCCAUUUGUUUUGUUGGCUGGUACCUCUGCCACUUUAUGAUUUGGUGGCAGGGUCUUCUUUUGAGUGUCGACAUACAGCAGUUAUGCGGGAGAUUUGUCUCCUCAAUUGACUUUGGAGGUCCUGACAGGGAAAGAUAAUUCUGUGCUCAUUGAUAUCCGAUCCGAGGCAAGACACAAGCUCUUUUGGCUUAUUAAUUACUUUACAGGCUUUCAUAUUCAAAACUUCAUAUUCUUGCCAUAGCCAUAGCCAUUGGCUAUAAUAACUAAUUUCAUAAUAUUUCUGACCCUUUUCAACUUGUGAUUGGCUUAAGAUUAUGAAAGAAAAAAAAGAAGAAAGAUUUUAUCUCAUCACUUCUUUUUAUAUUUUUAUAUAUAGCAGAAGAAAAAUUUAUCUAUCACAGUGAUAAAUGUUUUACUUUUGAGAAGCUUAUUUUAAAAUAGUCAAUGGCUUUGUGAAGAUUUUGAGAGAAAGAGACGGCAUUCCUGAUCUUCGUCGAGCAGCUCGUUAUCGCUAUUCAGGCAUCAUUUAUCUCGUUGAAUCUGCACCGUCUUGAUGAACAACUUGCGAAAGAUGUUUGCCGUGCAACGGAGAUAUCAGAAGCAAGCAGCUCUUGGGAAAGUGACCAAAUUCCUGCAACCAAUGAUCGUUCAACAUUGAAAGAAAUAUCUGAAGAUUUAAUUGAUUCUUUGGCGAAUAUUUCUGAGGUUAAAGCACCUGCCAGUCUUAAUCCGUCUCUGGGAUUUUGUGAUUCAUCAAAACAGAUUGAUGAUGCCAAAUCUUUAAUGAUGCUACAAAAAAUUACAUACUGAGAAACAGAUUGUGUCCUCUAAAUUUUCUAUAAGUAAAUAAUAAGUAUUAUUUUGUUAUGA